GCCAGGCAUGGUGGCGGGUGCCUGUAAUCCCAGCUACUCGGGAGGCAGAAGUAGGAGAAUCACUUGAACCUGGGAGGCAGAGGUUGCAGUGAGCUGAGAUCGCACCACUGCACUCCCGCCUAGGUGACAAAGUGAGACUCUGUCUCAA
Molecule: unclassified non-coding RNA, 148 nt
Organism: Papio anubis (olive baboon)
Lineage: Eukaryota; Metazoa; Chordata; Mammalia; Primates; Cercopithecidae
Rfam family: Metazoan signal recognition particle RNA
About the family: The signal recognition particle (SRP) is a universally conserved ribonucleoprotein. It is involved in the co-translational targeting of proteins to membranes.
Source: Ensembl